This 70-nucleotide transfer RNA is filed under the name Bubo flavipes. Its description in RNAcentral is "tRNA-Val". Lineage: Eukaryota; Metazoa; Chordata; Aves; Strigiformes; Strigidae. The record is from RNAcentral.
CAGGACGUAGCUUACACCAAAGCAUUCAGCUUACACCUGAAAGAUAUCUGCCCCUAUCAGAUCAUCCUGA